RNAcentral lists this ribosomal RNA (331 nucleotides) under uncultured bacterium. RNAcentral describes it as "bacterial SSU rRNA". It matches the Rfam family "Bacterial small subunit ribosomal RNA", at positions 468 to 793 of the family's 1533-position model. The record is from RNAcentral.
UUUGACGUUACCUACAGAAGAAGCACCGGCUAACUCCGUGCCAGCAGCCGCGGUAAUACGGAGGGUGCGAGCGUUAAUCGGAAUUACUGGGCGUAAAGCGCAUGCAGGCGGCCUGUUAAGUCAGAUGUGAAAGCCCGGGGCUUAACCUCGGAAUUGCAUUUGUAAACUAGGCAGGCUAGAGUCUUGUAGAGGGGGUAGGAAGUUUCAGGUGUAGCGGUGAAAUAGCGUAGAGAUCUGAAGGAAUACCAGUGGCGAAGGCGGCCCCCUGGACAAAGACUGACGCUCAGAUGCGAAAGCGUGGGGAGCAAACAGGAUUAGAUACCCCUGGUAG